RNAcentral lists this long non-coding RNA (545 nucleotides) under Mytilus galloprovincialis (Mediterranean mussel). The record is from RNAcentral. Lineage: Eukaryota; Metazoa; Mollusca; Bivalvia; Mytilida; Mytilidae.
AAAACUGGAGAAAUAAGGUGGAGAUGUAACAGUUAAGUCGUGUUGUGCUAGGUUAUUCACAGAUGAAUCUUGUACAAUUAUUUUGAUUGGAAAAUUAGAUUAUAUGUCAUGAAACAAAAGUCCAGAAAUAAGAACGUCAAAUUUUGAGAACUGUGUGCAAAAGAAAAGCAACCGAUAUGUUGCCAGAGCGACCUUCAAAAAUUCAAAAAAAUUCAGAGCUCUUCAAAAUUGAAGAAGAAAAUUUAGAAAAGAAAGAUUUUAAAUAUGUGCGUCAGUCAAUGUAUAUGGAGAGAAUAGAACUGCAUCCGGCUCAACCUAAAAGUCAAGCAGAAUUUCACAGAAUAUUGGAUGAUAUUGGUGUUGUUAAACAAAGAUGAUGACUUUGUAUUGUGUAUCGAGUCAGAAAGCGGGAUAAUUUUAUUAGGAUGAUUGUUUCAUUGGCGCAAAUGAUACCUAUAGUUUUGAAAAUUAUGUGGCGCAAAAGAAGUAUUGGCGCAAUUAAGUUGUGGCGCAAAUGAGUUACUUUUUGGCGCAAAAAGAUAUCG